GGGAAGUCUCAGUGGGAAGGAUGAUCCAGGAUCCCACCGCUGGAAGGGUGACUCUUUGCCAAUUGAGCAUCCCUGCAAUCACAGGUGGGCAGCUGAUGCAGCCAAGAGCUCCGUGAUGCCUCACCACACCCGUCGUGUUCCUGAGAGGACUCCCAGCCAAAGCUCAGCAUCACGGCCACCUCUGCCACGUGCUCCCUGAGGUGACUCCUCUGGAUAUCGAGCCCUGGAGGAGAGGUUACACCUCAGGUUUUGCCUGGCUUGAAGAGAAUAAAAAGCCCCAUUGGUGACAGCAACAUCAACAGAUGCAAACUAGGGAGUGAGUGUGGAAGUGAGCUGCCUUCACCUUUAUCUGCUGCUGUUGGACAGAUGAAUCCACACUACGGCAGAGCACUUGCAGAUUACUCUCCUUCUUCUGUGAAAGUUUGCCUAUCAGUGUAAGCGGCAUCUGGAGAUGGGAAAACUGAACUUCAGGUCCCACUUCUGGAAACGUGGAGCUGGG
This 499-nucleotide long non-coding RNA is filed under the name Taeniopygia guttata (zebra finch). RNAcentral describes it as "lncRNA (ENSTGUG00000024547.1)". The record is from RNAcentral. Lineage: Eukaryota; Metazoa; Chordata; Aves; Passeriformes; Estrildidae.